CCUGGCUCAGGAUGAACGCUAGCGGCAGGCCUAACACAUGCAAGUCGAACGGUAACAGGGAUUAGCUUGCUAAUCCGCUGACGAGUGGCGCACGGGUGCGUAACGCGUAUACAAUCUGCCUUUAAGCGGGGAAUAGCCCAUGGAAACGUGGAUUAAUACCCCAUAGUAUAUAGACUUCACCUGGAGACUAUAUUAAACAUUUAUGGCUUAAAGAUGAGUAUGCGUCCUAUUAGUUAGUUGGUAAGGUAACGGCUUACCAAGACCGCGAUAGGUAGGGGUCCUGAGAGGGAGAUCCCCCACACUGGUACUGAGACACGGACCAGACUCCUACGGGAGGCAGCAGUGAGGAAUAUUGGACAAUGGAGGCAACUCUGAUCCAGCCAUGCCGCGUGCAGGAAGACGGCCCUAUGGGUUGUAAACUGCUUUUAUACGGGAAGAACCACUCCGACGUGUCGGAGCUUGACGGUACCGUAUGAAUAAGGACCGGCUAACUCCGUGCCAGCAGCCGCGGUAAUACGGAGGGUCCAAGCGUUAUCCGGAAUCAUUGGGUUUAAAGGGUCCGUAGGCGGAAUAAUAAGUCAGUGGUGAAAGUCUGCAGCUUAACUGUAGAAUUGCCAUUGAUACUGUUGUUCUUGAAUUAUUAUGAAGUGGUUGGAAUGAGUAGUGUAGCGGUGAAAUGCAUAGAUAUUACUCAGAACACCUAUUGCGAAGGCAGAUCACUAAUAAUAUAUUGACGCUGAGGGACGAAAGCGUAGGUAGCGAACAGGAUUAGAUACCCUGGUAGUCUACGCCGUAAACGAUGGUUACUAGCUGUCCGGCCUAAUUGAGGGCUGGGUGGUUAAGCGAAAGUGAUAAGUAACCCACCUGGGGAGUACGUUCGCAAGAAUGAAACUCAAAGGAAUUGACGGGGGCCCGCACAAGCGGUGGAGCAUGUGGUUUAAUUCGAUGAUACGCGAGGAACCUUACCAGGGCUUAAAUGCAGUCUGACAGGUCUGGAAACA
RNAcentral lists this ribosomal RNA (1001 nucleotides) under uncultured Christiangramia sp. Its description in RNAcentral is "bacterial SSU rRNA". It matches the Rfam family "Bacterial small subunit ribosomal RNA", at positions 18 to 1008 of the family's 1533-position model. The record is from RNAcentral. Lineage: Bacteria; Pseudomonadati; Bacteroidota; Flavobacteriia; Flavobacteriales; Flavobacteriaceae.